Molecule: long non-coding RNA, 1314 nt
Organism: Bombus impatiens (common eastern bumble bee)
Lineage: Eukaryota; Metazoa; Arthropoda; Insecta; Hymenoptera; Apidae
Exons: 2
Source: RefSeq, a predicted model, not a curated record
CGCAGCCUAAAAAAUAUUAAGAUACUUUAACGAAACAAUCUAUAAAUUAUUUAGCUUGACUUACCAAUAUUGUCAGGUGACAAUAUCUUGGAAUGAUAAUAUCCACCGUUAGUGAUUGCGAAUAGCGAAAGAAGAAGUAAAACUGCGGUCUGUAUAGUUAAAAAAAUAUUACCUCGAACGAAGAGUGACCGUGUUUGAAGACCGAACCAGGUGAAGUAACAGGUUCUCAAUGAAUGUGGAGAUGAGCGUGAGUUUGAAUACGAGGAAAACCCCACCUCCUACAACCUUCAGUCCCAGUUUGAAUUUUGCCUACGCGUGCCCCUGACGAUCCUUCGAUGGGUCUCGCCUACGCUAGACCACUUCCAAUGUAAAUUACUUCAGAAGAUCAUCUUUUUCUUCGAGUAAGCAAAGAAACACUCCGAAAAAUAUUAUUUCAAGUUCAUCCAACAUAAUCGGGAGCUAUUUACUUUGCUAAUUAACGAGGUGCAAGAAAAACAAUCAGCAACGACUCCAUCUUUAUCCUAAUAAAAAUGACAUAUUUCCUUUUUAUUUUUAUUGGUACAUGAUAUAUCUCGUUACAAAAUUUUCUUCUAAUCAAAUAUAAAUAUAUCGAUCGUAUAAAUUAAUAAAUAACAUCCUAACAAAUUGCGGUAGAGUUCGAUGCUUUAAUUACAUAAUAAAUCAACUAUUCUUUUUUUAAUAGAUCGACUUUCAUUGGUCGGAAUGUAGACUCAAUGACGGGAUAAAUAUAUUCGAAAAAAGCACCGUGUUACAGAUUAAAUACAGAGAGCGUGAGUAAUCGCACUGCAAAUCUACUGUUCGAUGGGCAAUCAUCCUUUCGCGCCAAAAAUGGACCUGCCAGUGUCGAUGGUUCCACGUGCACAUUACGAUCAUCGACGCAAAGGUCGUUAUAUGCGUAAUCGUUUUAAAAAAUCAGAUUAAAAAAUCGAACUCUCAAAGGUCGUCGAAUUAAAAAUCACUCGUAAGUUAUAAAACUGUAUUAUGCAAACAAGGAAAGACUAUAAACAUAUCUGCCCAAUUAUGAUACCUGCAAGAAAAUUAGUUAGAUACCAAAAUUCUCUUAAUAAUAAUCGUAAUAGACUCUCAAAAUGAUGAAGACAAUGAUUAAUAUUUUACCUUAUUUGUUUGGCUGAUUUAUUACAAUAAUUUAAAUAACUUAAUAAUAAACUUGUAUAUCAUAGACAAAUAGAUUAUACCGUCUUUCGUCCUAGGAACAAACUUUUGCAAUAUUCAUUGCUAAAUUUAAGAAACUGUGUGCACGAUUAUAAAUGUGAUACAUGAGUUUAAAAAAAA